GGCGAACGGCUGAGUAACACGUGGGCAACCUGCCCUUUGCACUGGGAUAGCCUCGGGAAACCGAGGUUAAUACCGGAUAUCCAUAUUUGUCGCAUGGCGAAUAUGGGAAAGCUCCGGCGGCAAAGGAUGGGCCCGCGGCCUGUUAGCUAGUUGGUGGGGUAGUGGCCUACCAAGGCAAUGAUGGGUAGCCGGGUUGAGAGACCGACCGGCCAGAUUGGGACUGAGACACGGCCCAGACUCCUACGGGAGGCAGCAGGC
RNAcentral lists this ribosomal RNA (258 nucleotides) under uncultured Atopobium sp. RNAcentral describes it as "partial 16S ribosomal RNA". It matches the Rfam family "Bacterial small subunit ribosomal RNA", at positions 97 to 354 of the family's 1533-position model. Lineage: Bacteria; Bacillati; Actinomycetota; Coriobacteriia; Coriobacteriales; Atopobiaceae. The record is from RNAcentral.